This 398-nucleotide ribosomal RNA is filed under the name Westerdykella cylindrica. Its description in RNAcentral is "partial small subunit ribosomal RNA". It matches the Rfam family "Eukaryotic small subunit ribosomal RNA", at positions 30 to 432 of the family's 1831-position model. The record is from RNAcentral. Lineage: Eukaryota; Fungi; Ascomycota; Dothideomycetes; Pleosporales; Sporormiaceae.
GCUUGUCUCAAAGAUUAAGCCAUGCAUGUCUAAGUAUAAGCAAUUAUACCGUGAAACUGCGAAUGGCUCAUUAAAUCAGUUAUCGUUUAUUUGAUAGUACCUUACUACUUGGAUAACCGUGGUAAUUCUAGAGCUAAUACAUGCUAAAAAUCCCGACUUCGGAAGGGAUGUAUUUAUUAGAUAAAAAACCAACGCCCUUCGGGGCUCCUUGGUGAUUCAUAAUAACUCAACGGAUCGCAUGGCCUUGCGCCGGCGACGGUUCAUUCAAAUUUCUGCCCUAUCAACUUUCGAUGGUAAGGUAGUGGCUUACCAUGGUUUCAACGGGUAACGGGGAAUUAGGGUUCGAUUCCGGAGAAGCGUCCCGAGAAACGGACGCUACAUCCAAGGAAGGCAGCAGG